Molecule: ribosomal RNA, 406 nt
Filed under: uncultured bacterium
Lineage: Bacteria
Description: partial 16S ribosomal RNA
Rfam family: Bacterial small subunit ribosomal RNA
Source: RNAcentral
AUUGAACGCUGGCGGCAGGCCUAACACAUGCAAGUAGAACGAGUGGCGGACGGGUGAGUAAUGUAUGGGAAACUGCCCGAUGGAGGGGGAUAACUACUGGAAACGGUAGCUAAUCCCGCAUACCAUCGGAUGUGCCCAGAUGGGAUUAGCUAGUAGGUGGGGUAACGGCUCACCUAGGCGACGAUCCCUAGCUGGUCUGAGAGGAGGACCAGCCACACGGGAACUGAGAACGGGUCCAGACUCCUACGGGAGGCAGCAGUGGGGAAUAUUGCACAAUGGGGGCAAGCCUGAUGCAGCCAUGCCGCGUGGAUGAAGAAGUCCUUCGGGUUGUAAAGUACUUUCAGCGAGGAGGCGUUACUCGCAGAAGAAGCACCGGCUAACUCCGUGCCAGCAGCCGCGGUAAUUC